RNAcentral lists this small RNA (27 nucleotides) under Bombyx mori (domestic silkworm). RNAcentral describes it as "ovarian small RNA-11581". Lineage: Eukaryota; Metazoa; Arthropoda; Insecta; Lepidoptera; Bombycidae. The record is from RNAcentral.
ACGGUAAACACAUCGCCCUCGCAAUCC